UUAUAUUCUUAAAAUUCUAAAAAAUUUGGCGGUAUUUUAGUCUUUUUCGAGGAACCUGUUCUAUAAUCGAUAAUCCACGAUUAAUUGUACUUAAUUUAAAAGUUUGUAUAUCGUCGUAGUUGAAUUUCUUAUUAGAGAAUAAUAUUCGUAAAAUAAAAAUUUAAUAGAAAUCAGAUCAAGGUGCAGCUUAUAAUUAAGAAGAAAUGGGUUACAAUAAAAUUAUUUAUAUGGAUAAUAAAAUUAAAAUUUUGUUUUUAAAGUGGAUUUGAAAGUAAUAUAAUUUAGUUAAUUUAUAUGAUUUUAGCUCUAGAAUAUGCACAUAUCGCCCGUCGCUUCUAUAAUUAUUAAUAUAGAAUAAGUCGUAACAAAGUAGAUGUAUUGGAAAAUGUAUCUUGAAAGACAAAUUAGAGCUUGAUAAGCAUUUUAUUUACAUUAAAAAGAUAUUUGUUAAAUACAAUUUAAUUUGAAUUAAAAUGAUUAUAAAUUUAUAUAUAAAAUUAAAUGUUUAAUUAAAGUAUUUAUUUUUUUUUUAUUAUAAAAAUAAAAUUAUUAUAAUUAUAGUGAAUUAGGUAAAGUGAUUGAAAAUAUUAAAUAAUUUGAAAAAUUUAAAUAUUUAAAAGAAAAAAUAGUUUUUGUACCUUGUGUAUCAGGGUUUAUUAAAUAAUAAUUAUAAAAUUAAUUUUCUCGAAUUUAAAAGAGUUAAAAGAUUAUAAAUAUUAUUGUAAAAUAAAUAUUUAAAAUAAUUUUUUAGUAAUGAAAUGUUAUACGUUUUUAAAUAUAUCUAGUUUUUAAAGAAAUAAAUUUAAUUUAGAUUAUUUAUUUAAAUUUAUUUAAAUUUAUUUAAUUAUUUUUAAUAAAUAAUUAAUAUUUAAGGGGAUAAGCUCUUAAAUAAAAUUUUUAAAAAAAAAAGUUAAAUUUUAAGUUAUGUAGAAUUAAAAGUUUUUAUCAAUUAAAGGAUGUUAUAAUUAAAUUUAAUUUUAAUUAAAUUUUUAUUGUAUUUUAAGUUUUUUAUUUAAAUAAAUUAUUAAAUUUUAAAAUAGUUGAAAUAAUGAUAAAAUUAGUAUAAAUUGAUUUAAUUAUAAAUUAAAUGAUUUAGGUUAGAUUAAGGAAUUCGGCAAAAUAAAUUUUUUCGCUUGUUUAUUAAAAACAUCUCUUUUUGAUAAUAAUUUAAGGUUUAACCUGCCCAAUGAUUAAUUGAAUGGCUGCAGUAUUUUAACUGUACAAAGGUAGCAUAAUAAUUAGUUUUUUAAUUGAAAACUGGAAUGAAAGGUUGGACGAGAAAAAUUCUGUCUCAAUUUAAUUGUAAUUAGAAUUUUAUUUUUAAGUAAAAAAGCUUAAAUAAAUUUAAAAGACGAGAAGACCCUAUAGAGUUUUAUAUUAAUUAAUAAAAUUAAAUAUUAAGAAUAAUUUUUUAUUAAUUAGUAUUUAUUUGAGGUGAUAGUAAAAUUAAAAUAACUUUUAGUUUUUAUAAACCAUUUAUAUA
This 1483-nucleotide ribosomal RNA is filed under the name Rhyparus sp. NLG-2014. RNAcentral describes it as "partial 16S ribosomal RNA". The record is from RNAcentral. Lineage: Eukaryota; Metazoa; Arthropoda; Insecta; Coleoptera; Scarabaeidae.